GACGAACGCUGGCGGCGUGCUUAAUGCAUGCAAGUCGAACGAAGAACCCCCUCUGGGUAACCAAAGGGGAAUUCUUAGUGGCGAACGGGUGAGUAACACGUGAGAAACCUGCCCCGGAGACCGGGAUAGCCCAGGGAAACCUGGAUUAAUACCGGAUACCCUCGAUUGGUCGCAUGUCCGAUCGAGGAAAAGGUCCGCUGCUCCGGGAUGGUCUCGCGUCCUAUCAGCUAGUUGGUGAGGUAACGGCUCACCAAGGCAACGACGGGUAGCUGGUCUGAGAGGACGAUCAGCCACACUGGGACUGAGACACGGCCCAGACUCCUACGGGAGGCAGCAGCAGGGAAUUUUGCACAAUGGGCGCAAGCCUGAUGCAGCGACGCCGCGUGGGGGAUGAAUGCCUUCGGGUUGUAAACCCCUUUCAGGAGGGACGAAGCGAAAGUGACGGUACCUCCAGAAGAAGCCCCGGCCAACUACGUGCCAGCAGCCGCGGUAAU
Molecule: ribosomal RNA, 494 nt
Filed under: uncultured bacterium
Lineage: Bacteria
Description: bacterial SSU rRNA
Rfam family: Bacterial small subunit ribosomal RNA
Source: RNAcentral